Molecule: ribosomal RNA, 1217 nt
Filed under: uncultured prokaryote
Description: bacterial SSU rRNA
Rfam family: Bacterial small subunit ribosomal RNA
Source: RNAcentral
GGGUAGCUGGUCUGAGAGGACGACCAGCCACACUGGGACUGAGACACUGCCCAGACUCCUACGGGAGGCUGCAGUCGAGAAUCUUUCGCAAUGGGGGCAACCCUGACGAAGCGACGCCGCGUGUAGGAUGAAGGUCUUCGGAUUGUAAACUACUGUUUUUGGAGAACAAUAGCCGGCUAUAAAUAAUAGCGGGUAAUGAUAGUAUCCAAAGAGGAAGCCACGGCUAACUCUGUGCCAGCAGCCGCGGUAAUACAGAGGUGGCAAGCGUUGUUCGGAUUUACUGGGCGUAAAGGGUGCGUAGGCGGUUCCGUGUGUCGGAUGUGAAAUCCCAUCGAUCAUCGAUGGAACUGCAUUCGAAACUGCGGGGCUUGAGUGUCGGAGAGGUGGGCGGAAUUCACGGUGUAGCGGUGAAAUGCGUUGAUAUCGUGAAGAACGCCGGAGGCGAAGGCGGCCCACUGGACGACAACUGACGCUGAGGCACGAAAGCCGGGGGAGCAAACAGGAUUAGAUACCCUGGUAGUCCCGGCCUUAAACGGUGUAAACUUGGUGUGGGAGGAAUUAUCCCCUUCCGUGCCGCAGCUAACGCGAUAAGUUUACCGCCUGGGGAGUACGGUCGCAAGAUUAAAACUCAAAGAAAUUGACGGGGGCCCGCACAAGCGGUGGAGCAUGUGGCUUAAUUCGAUGCAACGCGAAGAACCUUACCUGGGUUUGACAUGCAGAGUUCAAUCGCGGAAACGCGAUGGCCCGCAAGGGCGAUCUGCACAGGUGCUGCAUGGCUGUCGUCAGCUCGUGCCGUGAGGUGUUAGGUUAAGUCCUGCAACGAGCGCAACCCCUGUGACUAGUUACCAUCCGCAAGGGGGACUCUAGUCAGACUGCCUGUGAUAAGCAGGAGGAAGGUGGGGAUGACGUCAAGUCAGUAUGGUCCUUAUAUCCAGGGCUGCACACGUGCUACAAUGAUCGGUACAGAGGGAUGCAAGACCGCGAGGUGGAGCAAAUCUCCCAAAACCGAUCCCAGUUCAGAUUGGAGUCUGCAACUCGACUCCAUGAAGCCGGAAUCGCUAGUAAUGGCGCAUCAGCUACGGCGCCGUGAAUACGUUCCCGGGCCUUGUACACACCGCCCGUCACAUCAUGAAAGCCGAUUGCACCCGAAGUGGCUCAUGCAACUCGUAAGAGAGCUAGGUCCCUAAGGUGUGGUUGGUGAUUGGGAUGAAGUCGUA